GGUGGAAAGAUUUAUCGGUGCAGGAUGGGCCCGCGUCGGAUUAACUAGUUGGCAGGGUAACGGCCUACCAAGGUUAUGAUCCGUAGCCGACCUGAGAGGGUGACCGGCCACAUUGGGACUGAGACACGGCCCAAACUCCUACGGGAGGCAGCAGUGGGGGAUAUUGCACAAUGGGCGGAAGCCUGAUGCAGCGACGCCGCGUGAAGGAAGAAGUAUUUCGGUAUGUAAACUUCUAUCAGCGGGGAAGAAGAUGAC
This 255-nucleotide ribosomal RNA is filed under the name uncultured bacterium. RNAcentral's name for it is "partial 16S ribosomal RNA". It matches the Rfam family "Bacterial small subunit ribosomal RNA", at positions 198 to 455 of the family's 1533-position model. The record is from RNAcentral.